CUUCAUCAAGUCAAGCUCUUUGCGUUCAGCUACCGGCCCUCUUCUCUAGUGAUCCGAUCUGAAGCUCUUCCUCGCCCCGCCUCCCUAACGACUCCGCGGCCCUUCUGCUUUCUCCUUCUACCCUCCCCCCUCUCUCCUCCCAUACAUAAACAGGCAGGCGCUUCUCUGUCUCUCUACAACUCGCCGCACCCCCUCCCCCAACUCAGGCCUGCGCCUCGUUUAGCCCUUUUCGGUGUGCCUGUUCCACGUGCAUCACCACCAUGGCUAGCAACGUGAACGAGGAGUCUCACGCGCUCUACGGGGCCGUAGUGGUGCGCCUGGUGGAUCGCGUGAUGCUCUGCAAGACGCCUAACGUGCCCACGGACGGCUUCACGAUUCCAGGCACCGCAUGGGCGGACCUCGUCAGCCGCUGCAGCGCCCCGCACUUCCGCACCUCUGCGUUCCUAAACGUGACAGCCGACAAAGACCCGAAACAGGAGGUGACCUUGUCCUACCACCUCAUGACGGAUGACGCGUUUGGCUACGGCAUUAUCGGUGCCAAGGCAGUCAGCCGCCGAGACGGGCACGCCGCGCUGGACGAGCUGGCGGCUCUCUUCAAGAAGAUGUUUGUGGAGCCCCCGUCGACGCUGAAUCCAAAGCUGGCGGACGUUUUUGUGCGUCCGGCGCGCGACCUGCUGAUGAAGCACAGCAGCGGCGCCGCCGCGGGCUCGGCGGAGAACAAGGUGACGAAGGUGAAGCUAGCCGUCGAUGAAGUAAAGAACAUGGCGCUGGACAACGUCGAACGUGUUAUUCAGCGUGGACAGCGCAUCGACGACAUUGUGCAGGCCACCGAUGAUCUGCAGUUUCAAGCAGAGGGCUUCCAGCGGAGCAGCCGUGAUCUGCGCAACCAGAUGUGGUGGAGCUCGAUGAAGGGGCGCAUUAUGCUGGCGGGCGCCGUGGGUUUCAUGCUAUUAUUGGUCUACUUCACGUUCUUUGCUGGCAACGGCAGCAAGAAGACGGUGACAACGCAAGCUCCGAGCUCGGCACCGAAGUAGCCGUUGGAACGGUCUCCUUCUUUUGCUUCGCUGUUUGCGAGGUAGCGAAGGGCAGGGAGCUAGGGACGAAGGAGGGGGCGGAGCGCAUGCACUUGCGCAAGAUGAAGGUGGGCGGCUGGCCCCUCCCCCUCCCCCAACAUGUACGAGGGAUUGCUGUGCGGAGAGAGAGAGGUGUGGACGAUGAAGCACAGCAGUAUCAGAGUCUGCCUGCGAAUAUUUCGCCUUUCACGACUGUCACUCUCUCAUCUGUGUGUGUGUGUAUCCCUUGCCGUUUGAGAAAGGCGCACUCCCGAGUCGCUUCGCCUCGGUCCUCUGCCGCGCUCUUCGUCCCUCACGGCAGCCGCUGCCUCCACCGCACUAGACCGAACGCCGGUAUAUGGAGUCUGUGUGUGUGUGUGUUUGGUGCUCUGCACCCCCCCCCUUCAACUCUACGCCACAUGAUGUUGUCCCCUUCGCUUCGGCUGUAUUGUUCUCCUUGCAUGACUGCUUGCGGUACUCUUCCGCUCGGCGUUCGCGUGCUUUACUGCCUUCUCUGCUGCGCCUCCUUUUUCUCGCGCGCUCUCUUGUUUGGUGUGCGUCAUGCACGUCUGUCCGUCCCCCAUCUCCGCCCACCCCUCUGCACCUCUACUCUGUCGAUUCGUUGCAUGCUCAGUGACUGCAACCCUCGUUCUCCUCUUUGUGAUGUUGAUCUCGUCGUCUGGUGACCUGUUUCGCACGUGCUGUCCCGCCUCCCUCCCCCCUUCCUCCUCCUCCUCCUCCUCCCACACACCUACACAGCCCCAGCACCAGUCUCUAGCCCCGGCCAUUUCUUGUGGCUGCUUCCGCUGCGUCAUGUACGUGUUCAGGAGUUCUGUGCGUGUCUGUCUGCCGUCAAACGCUAAGUCCUGUCUCCCGUCUCUCUCCCUCUCGGCCCCCGCCCCUCUCCUCCUGUCUUGUUCACCCCUGUGCUUCUCCCAGUUAUCCUCAUGUUGUGUUCCUGGAAAAAGGAGCGGACGGGGGUUCUCGUGUCGCCGGCUCUGCCCCUCCCUCCUCCCUUGUCAACUUAACAGACGACGGAGAC
This 2094-nucleotide unclassified non-coding RNA is filed under the name Leishmania donovani. Its description in RNAcentral is "gene:LdHU3.21.1810(CDS-product:vesicle-associated _membrane_protein_putative)". Lineage: Eukaryota; Euglenozoa; Kinetoplastea; Trypanosomatida; Trypanosomatidae. The record is from RNAcentral.